RNAcentral lists this long non-coding RNA (881 nucleotides) under Homo sapiens (human). RNAcentral describes it as "novel transcript". The record is from RNAcentral. Lineage: Eukaryota; Metazoa; Chordata; Mammalia; Primates; Hominidae.
UUUUUUUUUUUUUUUUUUUUUUUUUUUUUUUAGAGAUAAGGUCUUGCUAUAUAUAUGGCCCAGGCUGGUCUUGACCCAGCAUCAAGUCGUCCUCCUGCCUUGCGCUCCCAAAGCACUGGGAUUACAGGUGUGAGCCACCAUGCCCAGCCAGAUCUUUCUUGUUUUUGAUGUAGGUGUUUAUUACUAAAUACUUCCCUCUUAAAACUGCUCUUGCUGCAUCCCAUACAUUUUUAUAUGUUGUGUUUCUGUUUUCACUCAUUUUAAGACAUUUAAAUUUUGUUUCUUAAUUUCUUCAUUACCCAUUGGUCAUUCAGAAUCAUGUUAUUUAAUUUCCAUUUAUUUGUGCUGCUUUAAAAGUUCCUCUUGUUAUUGAUUUCUAGGUUUAUUUCAUUGUGGUCAGAAAGGUACUUGAUGUGAUUUUAAUUCUUUUAAUUUUUGUGAUUUGUUUUGUGGUUUAACAUGUGGCCUCUCCUUGAAAAUAUUGCAUGUGCUUAUGAAAAAAAAUAUGUAUUCUGUAGCUGUUGGAUGAAAAGAUCUGUUAGUGUCUUUUAAGUCCAUUUGGUCUAAAGUCAGUUUAAACUUGGUGUUUCUUUGUUGAUUUUCUAUGUAUAUGAUCUGUCCAUUGCUGAAAGUAGGGUGUUGAAGUCCACAAGUAUUAUUGUAUUAUUGUAUUGUCUUCCCCUUUAGAUCUAAUAAUAUUUGCCUUACAUAUCUGGGUGCUCUGAUAUUGGGUGCAUAUAUAUUUACAAUUUUUGUAUCCUCUUCCUGAUUUCAUCCCUACUGUGUUUGAUACAAAGUCUCUUAUCGUAAGUAUAGCUACUCCUUAUAUAGUCAUGAUUGUGGUAAAAAAAAAAAAAAAAGAAAAGAAAAAAGAAAAAAAA